AUUGAACGCUGGCGGCAGGCCUAACACAUGCAAGUCGAACGGUAACAGGAAGCAGCUUGCUGCUUCGCUGACGAGUGGCGGACGGGUGAGUAAUGUCUGGGAAGCUGCCUGAUGGAGGGGGAUAACUACUGGAAACGGUAGCUAAUACCGCAUAAUGUCGCAAGACCAAAGAGGGGGACCUUCGGGCCUCUUGCCGUCGGAUGUGCCCAGAUGGGAUUAGCUUGUUGGUGGGGUAACGGCUCACCAAGGCGACGAUCCCUAGCUGGUCUGAGAGGAUGACCAGCCACACUGGAACUGAGACACGGUCCAGACUCCUACGGGAGGCAGCAGUGGGGAAUAUUGCACAAUGGGCGCAAGCCUGAUGCAGCCAUGCCGCGUGUAUGAAGAAGGCCUUCGGGUUGUAAAGUACUUUCAGCGGGGAGGAGGGGAGUAAAGUUAAUACCUUUGCUCAUUGACGUUACCCGCAGAAGAAGCACCGGCUAACUCCGUG
This 490-nucleotide ribosomal RNA is filed under the name uncultured bacterium. RNAcentral's name for it is "partial 16S ribosomal RNA". It matches the Rfam family "Bacterial small subunit ribosomal RNA", at positions 30 to 507 of the family's 1533-position model. The record is from RNAcentral.